Nycticebus coucang (slow loris) is the source of this 1718-nucleotide RNA transcript. It is a transcript of the gene named guanine nucleotide-binding protein-like 3, with no coding region annotated. The transcript has 2 exons. The record is from RefSeq and is a predicted model, not a curated record. Lineage: Eukaryota; Metazoa; Chordata; Mammalia; Primates; Lorisidae.
UAUCUUGCUGCUGUUGCUUUUCUGUCUGCUGUUGUUUGCACAGCCAGCACGAAGAGACCAAAGUUAAAGAAAGCAAGUAAACACAUGAUCUGCCACAAGUGGUAUAAAAUCCAAAAAAAGGUUCGAGAGCAUCAUCGAAAAUUGAGAAAGGAGGCUAAAAAACGGGGUCACAAGAAGCCUAGGAAAGACCCAAGAGUUCCAAACAGUGCUCCCUUUAAGGAGGCACUUCUCCAUGAAGCUGAGCUAAAGAAACAGUAGCUUGAAGAACUGAAACAGCAGCAGAAACUUGACAGCAAAAAGAACAAGAAAAGAAAACUUGAAAAUAAUCCUGAUGUUAAGCCAUCUAAUGUGGAACCCGUGAAAGAGGAAUCUGGACAUUGCAAAACUAAGAACAAAGCUAAUUUGGGUAAACAGAAUUCAAAGAAGUUGUAUUGUCAAGAACUUAAAAAGGUGAUUGAAGCCUCAGAUGUUGUGUUAGAGGUGUUGGAUGCCAGAGAUCCUCUUGGUUGCAGGUGUCCUCCGGUAGAAGAGCCCAUUGUUUAGAGCGGACAGUAAAAGCUGGUACUUGUAUUAAAUAAAUCAGGUCUAGUACCAAAGGAAAAUUUGGAGAGCUGGCUAAAUUAUUUGAAGAAAGAAUUGCCAACAGUGGUGUUCAGAGCCUCAACACAUCUGAGGGACAAAGGAAAGAUAACCAAGGUAAAGAAGAAAGCUGCUCCAUUCCAAAGUAAAGUCUGCUUUGGGAAAAAGGUGCUUUGGAAACUUCGUGGAGGUUUUCAGGAAACUUACGGCAAAGCCAUUCAGGUUGGAGUAAUUGGCUUCCCAAAUGUGGGGAAAAGCAGCAUCAUCAAUAGUUUAAAACAAGAACAGAUAUGUAAUGUCGGCUUAUCCAUGGGACUUACAAGGAGCAUGCAAGUUGUUCCCUGGGACAAGCAUAUCACAAUCAUGGACAGCCAAUGCUUCUUUGUAUCGCCACUUAACUCCUCCACUGCACUUGCUCUGCGAAGCCCAGCAAGUAUUGAAGUGAUAAAACCAAUGGAGGCUGCUAGUGCCAUCCUGUCCUAGGCUGAUACUCGACAGGUAGUACUGAAAUGUACUGUCCCUGACUUUAAGAAUCCUCUGGAAUUUUUUGCUAAGUUUGCUCAAAGAAGAGGUCUGUACCAGAAAGGUAGAAGCCCAAAUAUUGAAGGUGCUGCCAAAGUACUGUGGUCUGAGUGGACAGGUGCCUCAUUAGGUUACUAUUGCCAUACUCCUACAUUCUGGACUCCUCCGCAUUUUAAUGAGAGUAUUGUGGCAGACAUGAAAUGUGGUUUAAAUCUGGAAGAACUGGAAACAAUACACAUACCAUAAAAGCUAUCAGGGGCCCUCCUUUGGCCAAUAGUAUCCUUUUCCAGUCUUUGGGUAUGACAAAUGGAAUAAUAAAAGAAAAGGACAUAUGUGAAGAAUUGCCAAAACAGAAAGAGAGGAAGCAGGAGGAGAGAGAGAAUGAUGAAGAUGUUUACAGUGACCAGGAAAUUGUUGAUCAAGAAUUGUUUAAAGCUGAAGAAAAGACCUCAGAUACAUCCCCUGCAGAAGAGACAUGGGAAGAACUGCCUGAGGAGUCUAUAGCAGGCAAACAGUCUCCAAGAUCUUUUAUCUUUGAUAAAGUGAUUCAAGAGGAUAAAGCUUAUGACUUCAGUACAGACUAUGUGUAAAAAUGUCCUUUUAUGAGAGGUUAUAAC